UACGUAGGGACCAAGCGUUGUUCGGAUUUACUGGGCGUAAAGGGCGCGUAGGCGGCUUGACAAGUCACUUGUGAAAUCUCCGGGCUUAACUCGGAACGGCCAAGUGAAACUGUCAUGCUAGAGUGCAGAAGGGGCAAUCGGAAUUCUUGGUGUAGCGGUGAAAUGCGUAGAUAUCAAGAGGAACACCUGAGGUGAAGACGGGUUGCUGGGCUGACACUGACGCUGAGGCGCGAAAGCGUGGGGAGCAAACAGG
Molecule: ribosomal RNA, 253 nt
Filed under: uncultured bacterium
Lineage: Bacteria
Description: partial 16S ribosomal RNA
Rfam family: Bacterial small subunit ribosomal RNA
Source: RNAcentral